GUCUUCCUGGCUCAGUUGGUUAGAGUGUUGGUCUCAUACUUCAGUAUGACUCGUAAAGAAAAAACUUUCGGGGAAUCCAAAGGUCGGCAGUUUGAUCCUGCCAGAGGACA
Molecule: non-coding RNA, 110 nt
Organism: Cephalotrichum gorgonifer
Lineage: Eukaryota; Fungi; Ascomycota; Sordariomycetes; Microascales; Microascaceae
Source: the annotation of a GenBank genome assembly